CGAAACAUAUCAUUUCUUAUCUUCAAAGUAUACUAAUAUUGGUUCAAAUGAUGUGUCUUUCGAUGAUCUUGAUUCCAUUCUAAAUAUAUGAUUUUAUUUUGAUAUUAAAAAGAUUUAUUGUGAUUCAUGUAUACAUCGCUGAAAAACUAUCAUUAAGAAAUUGAGUUCUAUAAAUAUAUAUACCUCAAUGAUCAUCUAUAUGUUUUUCUCUCCUACAUUCUUAAAGAUUUCCAUCAGAAUAUAUAUAGAGUGAAUGAUCUAAAAGCUAGAAGUAUUUCACCUCACUCAAAUGACUCUAAAAGAAAGAAAAUGUAAAUGCUGUUGAAAGAAACUGAGCGUCAAAUGAAUCAUUUUCUGAUUAAUAUUUCAGUACAUUUUCUCAAAGAUUAAGAGGAAGCAUAACUUGUUCUUGAUAGAUUAAAAAGGGUGAUUGCUAUAAAUUUUGAAUAAUUCUUGAUCACUCUCCAUUCUCGAUAUCAUAGAAUUUCAGUU
RNAcentral lists this long non-coding RNA (492 nucleotides) under Phoenix dactylifera (date palm). RNAcentral's name for it is "long non-coding RNA (PDAC_LNC005593)". Lineage: Eukaryota; Viridiplantae; Streptophyta; Magnoliopsida; Arecales; Arecaceae. The record is from RNAcentral.